GUGCCAGCAGCCGCGGUAAGACGUAGGGGGCGAGCGUUGUCCGGAUUCACUGGGCGUAAAGCGCGCGUAGGCGGCUCGUUAAGUCGGAUGUGAAAACCCGGGGCUCAACCCCGGGCCUGCACCCGAUACUGGCGGGCUGGAGGCAGGUAGGGGAGAUCGGAAUUCCCGGUGUAGCGGUGAAAUGCGCAGAUAUCGGGAGGAACACCGGUGGCGAAGGCGGAUCUCUGGGCCUGUCCUGACGCUCAGGCGCGAAAGCUAGGGGAGCAAACAGGAUUAGAUACCCCGGUAGUCC
This 292-nucleotide ribosomal RNA is filed under the name uncultured bacterium. RNAcentral's name for it is "partial 16S ribosomal RNA". It matches the Rfam family "Bacterial small subunit ribosomal RNA", at positions 505 to 796 of the family's 1533-position model. The record is from RNAcentral.